Molecule: ribosomal RNA, 397 nt
Filed under: uncultured bacterium
Lineage: Bacteria
Description: bacterial SSU rRNA
Rfam family: Bacterial small subunit ribosomal RNA
Source: RNAcentral
GAGCGCCGUAGCAAUACGGAGCGGCAGACGGGAGAGUAACACGUGGGAACGUGCCCUUCAGUUCGGAACAACCCAGGGAAACUUGGGCUAAUACCGGAUACGUCCGUAAGGAGAAAGAUUUAUCGCUGAAGGAUCGGCCCGCGUCUGAUUAGCUUGUUGGUGAGGUAACGGCUCACCUCCGCGACGAUCAGUAGCUGGUCUGAGAGGAUGAUCAGCCUCACUGGGACUGAGACACGGCCCAGACUCCUACGGGAGGCAGCAGUGGGGAAUAUUGGACAAUGGGCGCAAGCCUGAUCCAGCCAUGCCGCGUGGGUGAUGAAGGCCUUAGGGUUGUAAAGCCCUUUCGGCGGGGAAGAUCCUCACGGUACCCGCAGAAGAAGCCCCGGCUAACUUCGUG